This 207-nucleotide ribosomal RNA is filed under the name uncultured bacterium. Its description in RNAcentral is "partial 16S ribosomal RNA". It matches the Rfam family "Bacterial small subunit ribosomal RNA", at positions 568 to 774 of the family's 1533-position model. The record is from RNAcentral.
CGUGUAGGCGGUCCUGUAAGUCAGAUGUGAAAUCCCGGGGCUCAACCCCGGAACUGCAUUUGAAACUGUAGGACUUGAGUAUGGGAGAGGGAAGUGGAAUUCCUGGUGUAGAGGUGAAAUUCGUAGAUAUCAGGAGGAACACCGGUGGCGAAGGCGACUUCCUGGACCAAUACUGACGCUGAGGCGCGAAGGCGUGGGGAGCAAACA